Molecule: ribosomal RNA, 374 nt
Filed under: uncultured bacterium
Lineage: Bacteria
Description: bacterial SSU rRNA
Rfam family: Bacterial small subunit ribosomal RNA
Source: RNAcentral
UACGUAGGACCCAAGCGUUGUCCGGAUUCACUGGGUAUAAAGGGUGCGUAGGCGGUCUUGUGCGUCAGAGGUGAAAUAUCCGGGCUUAACCCGGAGGGUGCCUUUGAUACGGCAGGACUUGAGUGCGAGAGAGGAUGAUGGAAUUCCUGGUGUAGCGGUGAAAUGCGUAGAUAUCAGGAGGAACACCGGUGGCGAAGGCGGUCAUCUGGCUCGUAACUGACGCUGAGGCACGAAAGCGCGGGGAUCAAACAGGAUUAGAUACCCUGGUAGUCCGCGCCCUAAACGAUGUAUGCUUGGUGUUGGUCUCGCAAGAGAUCAGUGCCGUAGGAAAUCUGCUAAGCAUACCACCUGGGGAGUACGAUCGCAAGGUUGAA